Molecule: ribosomal RNA, 618 nt
Filed under: uncultured bacterium
Lineage: Bacteria
Description: bacterial SSU rRNA
Rfam family: Bacterial small subunit ribosomal RNA
Source: RNAcentral
AACGAAGCAAUUAGAAGGAAGUUUUCGGAUGGCAUUUUAAUUGACUGAGUGGCGGACGGGUGAGUAACGCGUGGGUAACCUGCCUCAUACAGGGGGAUAACAGUUAUAUAUGACUGCUAAUACCGCAUAAGCGCACAGGAUUGCAUGAUCCCGUGUGAAAAACUCCGGUGGUAUGAGAUGGACCCGCGUCUGAUUAGCUGGUUGGUGGGGUAACGGCCUACCAAGGCGACGAUCAGUAGCCGACCUGAGAGGGUGACCGGCCACAUUGGGACUGAGACACGGCCCAAACUCCUACGGGAGGCAGCAGUGGGGAAUAUUGCACAAUGGGGGAAACCCUGAUGCAGCAACGCCGCGUGAGUGAAGAAGUAUUUCGGUAUGUAAAGCUCUAUCUUCAUGGAAGAAAAUGACGGUACCUGAGUAAGAAGCCCCGGCUAACUACGUGCCAGCAGCCGCGGUAAUACGUAGGGGGCAAGCGUUAUCCGGAUUUACUGGGUGUAAAAGGGAGCGUAGACGGCGAUGCAAGUCUGAAGUGAAAGCCCGGGGCUCAACCCCGGGACUGCUUUGGAAACUGUAUGGCUGGAGUGCUGGAGAGGCACGCGGAAUUCCUAGUGUAGCGGU